RNAcentral lists this long non-coding RNA (890 nucleotides) under Glycine max (soybean). Its description in RNAcentral is "long non-coding RNA (GMAX_LNC004280)". Lineage: Eukaryota; Viridiplantae; Streptophyta; Magnoliopsida; Fabales; Fabaceae. The record is from RNAcentral.
UUUUUGAACUGUGAUUUAAUUGUAGAUUAUUAAAAAAAUAUUCUUUUUUUUUUCAGAAACAAAUUUAAGGCAUUUCCUUCAUUUUAAGUAAGUUAUUCGAUUGGGCUGGACCCAAUAACGUUUUAUCAUAAUUUAAGAUUUUAUUUUAAUUAAUUAGAAAUUGUGUUUGUUAGACUGUGUUUCUUAUAAAUAAAUAGGCGCUGCGAGUGAUUGUAUCGUGUGCCUCUUCCAUCAACACUGGGUUUCGGUUAUUCGAUUAUGUCAGGUUCUUUCUCUCUUACUUUCUUCAGAAAUUUUAUUUUCUUCUUCUUCUUCAUGUGAAACUUAAAUAAUAUUUUGUUUCUUCUGGCAUUUUUCUUUUGGUAUAUCGAUCAUUUGAUGAGAAAAAAACUGCAACUAUAUGAAGCAGCGAUUAGAGAUGAGGAUGUUUACAUUUGAUGAGAAAAAAACUUAGUUUGGUUUUCCUUGAAUUUUUAUUGCCGUAUACGUCUUUGUUCUUUUUUCCUUGAAUCUUUAUUUUUACUUCUUGUAUAGUUAUAUUUCUUUAUCUCAAAUUAUGAAAUUUUUAUUUUUAUUAUUUCUUUGAAAUUCUUGAUUCUUUAGUCGAAUUUAAGGUGGCUUUGUCUCAGUGACAUUCUUCCUUUGUUGCAGUAUGUGUUGCUAUGUAUGUUUUAAGAAAUAUUGUUUCUUUAGGUAUUUUCCAAUAGAAAUUGAAAUCUUGCGCUAAUCCUUUUGUGUUUUGAUUUUGGUUUUUUGGGUUCUGCAGGGACCAUUUCCGAGCUUUUCAGAUGAAUAUGAAUGAAAAUUCUGGUACUUAGCAGAAUUUCUAAUUUAUUUAUAAUUCUUUUAUUUGGAAGAACUUAUAAUUUAUUUAUUUAUAAUUUAUUAAU